UUUAAAGUCUGACCUGCCCAAUGAGGAGUUGAAUGGCCGCGGUAAUUUGACCGUGCAAAGGUAGCAUAAUCAUUAGUUUUUUAAUUGAAAGCUGGAAUGAACGGUUGGACGAGAAAAUAACUGUCUCAAUUUAAUUGAAUGUAGAAUUUUAUUUAUAAGUAAAAAAGCUUAUAUAAAUUUAAAAGACGAGAAGACCCUAUAGAGUUUUAUAGUUUUUUGUAGUAAAGAAUUUUAGUAUGUUUAUAUUUUUGAUACAGAAACCUAUUUUGCUGGGGCAGCAGAAAAAUUAACUAAACUUUUUUUAUAUAUUUUACAUUGAUUUAUGAUUUAAUGAUCCAUUUUUUAUGAUUACAAGAUUAAAUUACCUUAGGGAUAACAGCGUAAUUUUUUUUUAGAGUUCUUAUCGAAAAAAGAGUUUGCGACCUCGAUGUUGGAUUAAAAUUAACUUUUGGUGUAGGGGCUAAAAGGUUAGGUCUGUUCGACCUUUAAAAUUUUACAUGAUCUGAGUUUAAACCGGCGUGAGCCAGGUUGGUUUCUAUCUUUAAAAAAAUUAAAUAUCUUAGUACGAAAGGAUCAGGUAUUUUUAAAAUUUAGUAUAUUUUGAAUAGGAAUAAAAA
RNAcentral lists this ribosomal RNA (617 nucleotides) under Anomala mongolica. RNAcentral's name for it is "partial 16S ribosomal RNA". It matches the Rfam family "Bacterial large subunit ribosomal RNA", at positions 1844 to 2770 of the family's 2925-position model. The record is from RNAcentral. Lineage: Eukaryota; Metazoa; Arthropoda; Insecta; Coleoptera; Scarabaeidae.